Macaca mulatta (Rhesus monkey) is the source of this 1104-nucleotide non-coding RNA. Lineage: Eukaryota; Metazoa; Chordata; Mammalia; Primates; Cercopithecidae. The record is from RefSeq and is a predicted model, not a curated record.
ACGCUGUUUAAUUUAAUCCUCACAACGACCCAGAACAUAGUAUUAUUCUCCCUGUUUUCUAGAUAGAAAAAAAUGUAAAAGCCCCCAAAUGCAUAAGUAGCUCAAACAAGGUCAUGUAAGAGGUAAAACAGAAAAUCUGCAUUUGAACCCAGGUCUCUUGAUUCCAAGUUCCAUAUUCUACGUAAGAAUUGUUAGGUAUGAUUUAACAAUCAUGUACAGGCUUUUUUUCAUUUCUCCUUUAACAACACAAUGGCUGUCAAAGAGCUCAUAAGCCACUGGAACUGCUUCUGCAAUAAGUAAAGUCAAUGAAGAAAGCAAGAGGACUGCAAAGGUUUCCCUGCUGAUUCUGCCAACAGAAAUGUUUUUAUUGUGCUGCUUUGGACUGUCAUUCAUCAAGCUUAGCAACCAGAGAGAAAAGAAGGCUCUUUACCGUCAGCUAAGCCUGAAAAAUACUUGGAAAGGACUUUGCUUCCCUGGGCUUGGGUCACGGACAAGGUGAAGAGUAGGAUGGGGACGCAUGCCAGGUGGACUAAAAGAACAACUACUACAAGCUGCUAUCAGCCAAGGAAAGGCACAGAAAUACAGAGUUCCACCCUCACGCAACCCAGAGGGGCAGCUCUAUGAAGAGGAGUUUUGGACAAUUAAAGGCAUUUAAUUAGCCACUGGGUGACAUGUAUAGAAGGAUUCAUGUUUUGAAUUGGAAGUUUUUUAAUUUUUAGGCAAUACCAAGAUGUUUACUUCCACAAACGUCUCUUAUUUUUUUUGCAUAAUUAAUUACAAAGAAUUGGAGUUGCAAGUGUAAAAAAAUGAAAUAAUCACCACUUUAAGAACUGUGCUGCAUCCCAAGGGACCUAAGGAUUGCUACGAAAGUAUUCAAAUUGGCCCAAUUAAGCUACAUAAUGAAUUUAGACAGUGCUCUCGAAGGCCACUUUGUGUUCUGUUUUUCUGUGAUUCCAGAAAACCAAUCAUGGCAAAGGUGGGGGCAUUUGCUUCUGUGGUGCUGAGCAAAACUCGAACUAUUUGAAAAUCACACUGAGUCUCUGAACAAGAGACCAACAAUGGUGGGAGCUGUCAUCAAGGAAUAAAAAUGUUAAUUGAAGAUCU